Molecule: long non-coding RNA, 1245 nt
Organism: Melospiza melodia melodia
Lineage: Eukaryota; Metazoa; Chordata; Aves; Passeriformes; Passerellidae
Exons: 4
Source: RefSeq, a predicted model, not a curated record
AGAUUCUGACCCUAAGAUUCUCAGGUAUCCAUCUUUGCAGUUCUUGAAUAAAUCAUUCAGUUAGCAUCUUCUUCCUCCAGGUUUCUCCGAGCCUCCUCAGCCCACCAUCAGUUUCACCUCUGUCAUCUCCUUUUGCAUUCUCUCAGUCCUUGCAGCCAUUCUCCUUGCCAAGAGAUUUCUGUUCCUGUUGUGUCCCCAUUGUCUGUCAAGUCCGGUCCUGUGUCACUGGGGUCAGCACACAUUUGUGCCGGAGCUGCUCUGCUCUGCCGCAUAGCCCGGUGCAAUAGGAGAUUGAUCACCUUCUUCCUGAUUGCAUAGAAGUCUCGGGGACUUGGGAUUUUUAGUGUGGGGUGUAGUUGGACUCUAGAUGGGAUUUGUAGACGGACACAAGAUAUCUGGAGCUCUUAAGUUAUCCUGCAGUCCUUUGACUUUCAUCCUAACUUUCUUUCAGAUGCAGAAGGAUAAAAUCCAGGGCAGCGCACCCCAUCCCGGGUGAGGGGAUUCCCCUGAGCAGGUGCUGUCACUGGCCUAGGCAUGCCCAGGAACAGAGGAGGGCAGGUAUCUUCUGGGCAGCUUCCGGAGUCAAAUCAAGAUUUGAGGUCCCCUGAGAAGGCUUGUAGCGAAAGCUUGGGAACGGCAGCACCGAAGCACACAUGGAGAACAUCUCAACGUCCACAUCCAACCGAGGAUGGCUUUUUGUCUGCUCGUCUUCCAAAAGCUAAGUGUUGGGGCCAGUGGUUGGGAGAAGGGGAAAAACCUUUACUAUCACAGGGGGACAAUUUGAUGUCAGCUUAGUGGAGAGGUCUAUAGUGGGACAGGCUCUCUGGAAGUAAAGGGAGAGGGUUUCUCCUCAGCCUCACCAGAGCCUUUGCCAGGCAGGGCAGUUCCGACCCAUCUCCACAUUCUCGUGAACUUUGCGUUGUCAGCCUUCUUCGACUCGACAUCGUCACGGAUCUUUCCCCCAGGGAGAUCGCCUUCAGGUCUGGAGCUAUAGCCACGGUCACCCGGCAGUCUGCUUCCUUCUCUAGGCUUGCUGAGCCUCUCGAGCAUCCUCUUAACUGCUUUGGUACUAACUUCCUUUAAGGAGUUACAUUUCAUCAUCCUGUGCUAUUGUCCUGGGACUUCCUUUCCUUUGGCAUCAUUGGCCUCUGGCUCAUCUUGCAGUAGGAAUCUUGGGUCCAUCAGUUGAAAGCGCCAGGCAGUUUACACUUGUCUCUGUGUUAUGCCAUCUGUGUCUAUGUUAUG